This 433-nucleotide ribosomal RNA is filed under the name uncultured bacterium. RNAcentral describes it as "partial 16S ribosomal RNA". It matches the Rfam family "Bacterial small subunit ribosomal RNA", at positions 29 to 507 of the family's 1533-position model. The record is from RNAcentral.
AACGAACGCUGGCGGCAUGCCUAACACAUGCAAGUCGAACGAGACCUUCGGGUCUAGUGGCGCACGGGUGCGUAACGCGUGGGAACCUGCCCUUAGGUUCGGAAUAACUCCCCGCAAGGGGUGCUAAUACCGGAUAAUGUCUUCGGACCAAAGAUUUAUCGCCUUUGGAUGGGCCCGCGUUGGAUUAGCUAGUUGGUAGGGUAAAAGCCUACCAAGGCGACGAUCCAUAGCUGGUCUGAGAGGAUGAUCAGCCACACUGGGACUGAGACACGGCCCAGACUCCUACGGGAGGCAGCAGUGGGGAAUAUUGGACAAUGGGCGAAAGCCUGAUCCAGCAAUGCCGCGUGAGUGAUGAAGGCCUUAGGGUUGUAAAGCUCUUUUAACCGGGAUGAUAAUGACAGUAGCGGGAGAAUAAGCUCCGGCUAACUCCGUG